This 182-nucleotide unclassified non-coding RNA is filed under the name Alicyclobacillus hesperidum. Its description in RNAcentral is "partial contains 16S-23S ribosomal RNA intergenic spacer, and 23S ribosomal RNA". Lineage: Bacteria; Bacillati; Bacillota; Bacilli; Caryophanales; Alicyclobacillaceae. The record is from RNAcentral.
GUGUUURGUUUUGAGGGAGCGAAUGGUUCGAAAGAACUGUUGGCGAACUCAAGGACCUUGGCAACUGCAUAUGAAAUGACCUUGCAACCUGGUAACCGAAGGAUGGGAACAGGUAGAGUGGUGAAGUUAGGAAGAGCGCACGGAGGAUGCCUAGGCGCCAAGAGCCGAAGGACGGGGCGAAC